This 205-nucleotide ribosomal RNA is filed under the name uncultured bacterium. RNAcentral describes it as "partial 16S ribosomal RNA". It matches the Rfam family "Bacterial small subunit ribosomal RNA", at positions 568 to 773 of the family's 1533-position model. The record is from RNAcentral.
UGCGUAGGCGGGCAGGUAAGUCAGUGGUGAAAUCCCCGAGCUUAACUUGGGAACUGCCGUUGAUACUAUCUGUCUUGAAUACUAUGGAGGUAAGCGGAAUAUGUCAUGUAGCGGUGAAAUGCUUAGAUAUGACAUAGAACACCAAUUGCGAAGGCAGCUUGCUACACAGUUAUUGAGCUGAGGCACGAAAGCGUGGGGAUCAACA